Long non-coding RNA from Gasterosteus aculeatus aculeatus (three-spined stickleback), 1261 nucleotides. The record is from Ensembl. Lineage: Eukaryota; Metazoa; Chordata; Actinopteri; Perciformes; Gasterosteidae.
AUCUUGAUGUUCUUGAAGUGUCUUCAGCUGCUUCCUCAUCGUGCUCUCACGUCCGUCCACUGCUUCUCUUCCUUUGGCCUCCGUCUGCUCCUCCAUCUUCUCUCUGGUGCUACUCAGCAGGUCCUGAGUCGUAAACACGACCAUGAUGCAACCUGGUGCAUCUAAACCCCCCUGAGAUGUCCUCCUGUCCUUUAGGAGCUACUCUGUCACUGACUGUGAGGAGACGACUAAUGAUAUCAUCUCAAACUAGUUACGGCUUUCAGCAAAUUAAAAAUCAAUCCAACUCAAUGUUAGAAUCACAAAGCUGAGAUGAAACUUUUAGGGUGUAAACGCUGCCGCAGGAGAGAGAAGAGGAAACUAAAAUAAACGUCUAAUGAAAAUCCAUAAAAGCAAAAUGAAGUUCAAGUUAAGAAAGUAAAAGUCUAAAGUCACAACGAUAAUCAAUAAUCAAUCUUAUGUUUAAACGUUGAAUACCAUUCAAACUUUAACUAGUAGUGACGAUGGACCUUAACUCAAAGCCUAAAGCAAUAAUAACCCACUUAUCUGACAUUUAAAUACAAUCUAGUUCCACCACUGGAGAUCAAAUCUAUUCAACCUUUUCAGAAGGUCACAUUAAAAUCAGAGCGGCUCUUUAAAUUGGAAUCGAGAUCAAAUCCAAAUGAAGACAAAGCUGAUAUCAAACUGUAUCAAUGCUGAAAUGAUCACAAGUGAUAUUAAAGUUGUAUUUCUUACCUUUACUUGAAUGUCCAUCAGUGUUGGAGGGUGAACAUCAAUGAACAGUCCUUGUGUCCCUUUGACUCUAAUGAAGACAUUGUCUCUACAUCAUGUGAUUACUCCUGUAAACCAUAUGAGGCGUGUUGACACAACAGCUGAUGACGUGACAAUCGUUAGUAACUCUGCACCUCGACACGCUGAGAACACAAAGUACUAUAUUAUAAUAGUACUAUUAUGAUCAGCAGCCUGUGACCUGACUGACCCUGUUCACUGAAUACUACAGUACAUUCAAUGAUCACACCUUUGGCUUGAAUCCACACGCCGACCCGUUUGCAGAUGCUUGAGUGUAUUUACAUGAGGACGUUCUGUAAUAUCACAGUAAAAGUGCAGAACGGGACGGAAGUGAAUGAGUGAAAAACCAAACAGUGAAUCCAAUAAACUAACGAGUGCGUUUCUUCUCUUUGUUUGUGUUGUUUGUUCAUUGUGAAACAUUGUAAAUACUGAAUGGUCUUUAUUUCUAUAUUUAGUGAAUAUUUGCUUAUUAAAC